UCAGACAAGGUCUCUCCAUAGUUUUUAGUUUGGUAUUUAUUAAAACUAAAAUUCUUAAAACUAAAAACUAUGGAGAGACCUAGUCUGA
RNAcentral lists this microRNA precursor (88 nucleotides) under Podarcis lilfordi (Lilford's wall lizard). The record is from RNAcentral. Lineage: Eukaryota; Metazoa; Chordata; Lepidosauria; Squamata; Lacertidae.